RNAcentral lists this ribosomal RNA (47 nucleotides) under Caloplaca syvashica. RNAcentral's name for it is "partial 28S ribosomal RNA". The record is from RNAcentral. RNAcentral also lists the same sequence under 2 other names. Lineage: Eukaryota; Fungi; Ascomycota; Lecanoromycetes; Teloschistales; Teloschistaceae.
AUUGACCUCGGAUCAGGCAGGGAUACCCGCUGAACUUAAGCAUAUCA